UCGUAAGCAAGUGAACAAACCAAAGGUGGAGCUUGGAAAGUUUACAGGUAGAGCUAAUUUUCUUUUUAUGUUCGAGGAAAGCUUAUAUUACCAAAAAUGGUCGGGCUAGUUAUGAAUUGGACAAAUUACGCUUAUGAAACUACAUGAUGUUCUUUUGUAAAUUCCAAAAUUUUCCCUAGGUUACAGCCACGUCAAUCUUAAGAAAUAGAUACUGUCUUGAUCAAUUGAUUUAAUUAUUAAUGUGUCAUAUAAUGAAAUAGAAUCUUCUCCGGCUUCCAUCUAAAUUCUUUAAUUGUGUUUGUUCAACUGAAAAUCGAACGGCCAGGAAUUAGUUCCCUGCUCACCUUCACCUAUUCAUCGUCUUCCAUCUUCACCUUCUCUUGCUCAUCUUCUUCCAUGUUAACUUUCUUUUGUUCUCUUCUUUCUUCUCAUCCAUCUCUUACUCUAUUCAGCUCCCUAAUUGAAGGAUAUGAAGCAUCCAUAUGGAAGGGAUUUGGAGAGAAUCAUAGUCCUCAUAUAAUAUGUCACAUUCCCGUCCGGGCUCCCAUCACAUUCCGGGCUCGAUUCCGCCGUAGCACGGUAUUGUUCGCUUUGGACCCCA
Molecule: long non-coding RNA, 601 nt
Filed under: Malus domestica (apple)
Lineage: Eukaryota; Viridiplantae; Streptophyta; Magnoliopsida; Rosales; Rosaceae
Description: long non-coding RNA (MDOM_LNC001249)
Source: RNAcentral